GGUAGUAGCAAAUAUUCAAGUGAGAACCUUGAAGACUGAAGUGGAGAAAGGUUCCAUGGUAACAGCAGUUGGACAUGGGUUAGUCGAUCCUAAGCCAUAGGGAAGCUCCGUUUCAAAGUGCGCAAUUUGCGCCCAUGGCGAAAGGGAAGCCGGUUAAGAUUCCGGCACCAGGAUGUGGAUUUUUGGCGGUAACGCAAAUGAACUUGGAGACAUUGGCAGGGGCCCCGGGAAGAGUUAUCUUUUCUGCUUAACAGCUUGUCGCCCUGAAAUCGGUUUGUCCGGAGCUAGGGUUAAAUGGCUGCAAGAGCUCGGCACUUUUGCCGGGUCCGGUGCGUUCUUGACAAUCCUUGAAAAUCCAAGGGAACGAAUAAUUAUUUAUCUGGUAGCCUACCGUCUCAUCUACACGAAAAGGGAACAAAAGAU
RNAcentral lists this non-coding RNA (423 nucleotides) under Calocera viscosa TUFC12733. RNAcentral's name for it is "Eukaryotic large subunit ribosomal RNA". It matches the Rfam family "Eukaryotic large subunit ribosomal RNA", at positions 1456 to 1832 of the family's 3401-position model. The record is from Rfam by way of RNAcentral. Lineage: Eukaryota; Fungi; Basidiomycota; Dacrymycetes; Dacrymycetales; Dacrymycetaceae.